RNAcentral lists this unclassified non-coding RNA (320 nucleotides) under Hevea brasiliensis (rubber tree). The record is from RNAcentral. Lineage: Eukaryota; Viridiplantae; Streptophyta; Magnoliopsida; Malpighiales; Euphorbiaceae.
GAGAGAGAGAGAGAGAGAGAGUCAUUAGUCAUAUACUAGCAAAAUCAUUGUCAGCAUCAUGCAAAAACAGAAAUUCUAUUGUACUUCAUACUUCAAAUUUAGAAUUAUUAACAGAUCACGAAUAUUCUCAAAAUUUGGCUAGACUUAAAAACUCUUGUUUGGUAUUAACCAAAAUCGUCCAAUAGGAUGCCAAAGUUGAGAGACAGAUUAUGAAACAACCACAUCAGCUUAAAAGAAAAUUCAAAUAUGGCAAAACCUUUAGAUGGAAUUUUUUCAAAAAUUCUUCGGUACAAUCAGGUCCCCACAAUAGACCAAUGCCU